RNAcentral lists this ribosomal RNA (253 nucleotides) under uncultured bacterium. RNAcentral describes it as "partial 16S ribosomal RNA". It matches the Rfam family "Bacterial small subunit ribosomal RNA", at positions 524 to 776 of the family's 1533-position model. The record is from RNAcentral.
GACGGAGGGUGCUAGCGUUGUUCGGAAUGACUGGGCGUAAAGGGUGCGUAGGCGGCGCGGUAAGUCGGGUGUGAAAUCUCGGGGCUUAACUCCGAAACUGCAUUCGAUACUGCCGUGCUUGAGGACUGGAGAGGAGACUGGAAUUUACGGUGUAGCGGUGAAAUGCGUAGAUAUCGUAAGGAAGACCAGUGGCGAAGGCGGGUCUCUGGACAGUUCCUGACGCUGAGGCACGAAGGUCAGGGGAGCAAACGGG